This 545-nucleotide ribosomal RNA is filed under the name uncultured Chlorophyta. RNAcentral's name for it is "SSU rRNA". It matches the Rfam family "Eukaryotic small subunit ribosomal RNA", at positions 598 to 1153 of the family's 1831-position model. Lineage: Eukaryota; Viridiplantae; Chlorophyta. The record is from RNAcentral.
CGUAUAUUUAAGUUGUUGCAGUUAAAAAGCUCGUAGUUGGAUUUCGGUUAAGAGCGACCGGUCCGCCGUUUGGUGUGCACUGGUUGGUUUUAACUUCCUGUAGAGGACGUGCUCUGGGCUUAACGGUCUGGACUCGGAGUCUACGUGGUUACUUUGAAAAAAUUAGAGUGUUCAAAGCGGGCUUACGCUUGAAUAUUUCAGCAUGGAAUAACACUAUAGGACUCCUGUCCUAUUUCGUUGGUCUCGGGACGGGAGUAAUGAUUAAGAGGAACAGUUGGGGGCAUUCGUAUUUCAUUGUCAGAGGUGAAAUUCUUGGAUUUAUGAAAGACGAACUUCUGCGAAAGCAUUUGCCAAGGAUGUUUUCAUUAAUCAAGAACGAAAGUUGGGGGCUCGAAGAUGAUUAGAUACCAUCCUAGUCUCAACCAUAAACGAUGCCGACUAGGGAUUGGCGGAUGUUAAUUGAUGACUCCGCCAGCACCUUAUGAGAAAUCAAAGUUUUUGGGUUCCGGGGGGAGUAUGGUCGCAAGGCUGAAACUUAAAGGAAU